Molecule: non-coding RNA, 1492 nt
Organism: Hammondia hammondi
Lineage: Eukaryota; Apicomplexa; Conoidasida; Eucoccidiorida; Sarcocystidae
Source: Rfam
AUAUCGUUGAGUUUGGUGAUGGCUCUGAUUGAACGCUGUCCAAGUGCUUGACACAUGCUAAUCGAACGUUUUAAUUAAAAUUGUAUGCGCAAGCUAUAAUACAAAUUCAAUUAAAAAGUGGUGUACAGGUGAGUAUAAUUAUAUUUAGAACGCUGGCCUUAGAGUAAAGGUAAAUCCUUUAUAUAAAAAAGGAAUAAAGAUAUUCCGCUUUAAGAAGACGAUAAAUAUAUUCGAGAUAGGUAGUAGUUAAGGUUAUGGCUUAACUAGCUUAUAACUCUCGUAGUCGAAUCUGAAAGGUUGAUCGACCACAUUGGGUCUGAAAAAAGCCCAAUGCAAGUUAGUACAGCAGUGAGGAAUAUUGGUCAAUGGCCUAACGGCUGAACUGGUAACUUGGAGAAGUGUUAAGUCUUAUUGAGUUAUUAUCAUAGAAUAAUAUCUCUAAGAUUAAAUUAAAAUUGAAUGAAACUUUGUUUAUAUAUUGAUAAUGACGAUAUAUAUAUUGUGUCUUGACCAAUUACGUGCCAGCAGUCGCGGUAAUACGUAAGAGACUAGCGUUAUUCAUCUUAAUUAGGUUUAAAGGGUACUCAAACGGUCAACAUAACAUCAAAAAUGUUAGUACUUGACUAGAGUUAUAUAUAAGAAGGCAGUACUUUAGGUGGAGAGAUUAUAUUCAAUGAUACCAUGGGGACUCGGUAAAGGCGCAGGCAGCCUUUUAUGUAAUAACUGACGUUGAAGGACGAAGGCUUGGAUCACGAACAGGAUUAGAAACCCCAGUAGUCUUUGCAGUAAAUGAUGAAUGCCAUAGGUUAGAAAAAAUUCUGGUCUAUAAAUGAAAAUGUAAGCAUUUCACCUCAAGAGUAAUGUGGCAACGCAGGAACUGAAAUCACUAGGCCGUUUCUGACACCAGUAGUGAAGUAUGUUGUUUAAUUCGAUAAUCCACGAAAAACCUUACCACAAUUUGUAUAAUAAUUACAGGAGUUGCACGGCUGUUUACAGUUAAUGUUGUGAAACUAUGGUUUUUUACCAUGAAUUAACGUAAUCCCUUGCUUUAUUUUAUUAUUAUUAACUAUAAAGCAUUUAAUCUGAGAAUUUGGAAAAAGAAAAGGGACUAAGACAAGUCAUCAUGGCCUUAAUAUUGUGGGCUAUAGACGUGCCACAUAUGCCUAAACAAAGAGAUGCGAAAAUGUGAAUUCUAGCUAAUCUCAUAAAAUAGGAUAUAAAUUUUAAGGAUUGUAGUCUGAAAUUCGACUAUAUGAAUAUGUAAUUACUAGUAAUCGUGAAUCACCAUGUCACGGUGAAUAAAUCUCGGAUUGGUACUAAUCACUCGUCGCAUGCUGAAAGGAGUAUAUGCAAUAAGUUUGCUUUUUUAAUGAUUAGUAAAAAAAUAAGCAGAUUUUUUCUAUUAUUAAAAAUCUUCGUAUGUGUAGCUCUAAUUAGUGUUAAGUCGAACUAAGGUUCGCGUAGCGGAAGUUGCGCGGGAAUAAUAAACUUU